Molecule: transfer RNA, 74 nt
Filed under: Planctomycetaceae bacterium
Lineage: Bacteria; Pseudomonadati; Planctomycetota; Planctomycetia; Planctomycetales; Planctomycetaceae
Description: tRNA-Val
Rfam family: tRNA
About the family: Transfer RNA (tRNA) molecules are approximately 80 nucleotides in length. Their secondary structure includes four short double-helical elements and three loops (D, anti-codon, and T loops).
Source: RNAcentral
GGACGCUUAGCUCAGUAGGUUAGAGCACCAUCUUCACACGGUGGGGGUCGCUGGUUCGAGUCCAGCAGCGUCCA